GAUGAACGCUGGCGGCGUGCUUAACACAUGCAAGUCGAACGGAAAGGCUCCUGCUUGCAGGGGUACUCGAGUGGCGAACGGGUGAGUAGCACGUGGGUGAUCUGCCCUGCACUUCGGGAUAAGCCUGGGAAACUGGGUCUAAUACCGGAUAGGACGAUGGUUUGGAUGCCAUUGUGGAAAGUUUUUUCGGUGUGGGAUGAGCUCGCGGCCUAUCAGCUUGUUGGUGGGGUAAUGGCCUACCAAGGCGUCGACGGGUAGCCGGCCUGAGAGGGAGUACGGCCACAUUGGGACUGAGAUACGGCCCAGACUCCUACGGGAGGCAGCAGUGGGGAAUAUUGCACAAUGGGCGCAAGCCUGAUGCAGCGACGCCGCGUGGGGGAUGACGGCCUUCGGGUUGUAAACUCCCUUCGCUAGGGACGAAGCGUUAUGUGACGGUACCUGGAGAAGAAGCACCGGCUAACUACGUGCCAGCAGCCGCGGUAAUACGUAGGGUGCGAGCGUUGUCCGGAAUUACUGGGCGUAAAGAGCUCGUAGGUGGUUUGUCGCGUCGUUUGUGUAAGCCCGCAGCUUAACUGCGGGACUGCAGGCGAUACGGGCAUAACUUGAGUGCUGUAGGGGAGACUGGAAUUCCUGGUGUAGCGGUGGAAUGCGCAGAUAUCAGGAGGAACACCGAUGGCGAAGGCAGGUCUCUGGGCAGUAACUGACGCUGAGGAGCGAAAGCAUGGGUAGCGAACAGGAUUAGAUACCCUGGUAGUCCAUGCCGUAAACGGUGGGCGCUAGGUGUGAGUCCCUUCCACGGGGUUCGUGCCGUAGCUAACGCAUUAAGCGCCCCGCCUGGGGAGUACGGCCGCAAGGCUAAAACUCAAAGGAAUUGACGGGGGCCCGCACAAGCGGCGGAGCAUGUGGAUUAAUUCGAUGCAACGCGAAGAACCUUACCUGGGCUUGACAUACACCAGAUCGCUGCAGAGAUGUAGUUUCCCUUUGUGGUUGGUGUACAGGUGGUGCAUGGUUGUCGUCAGCUCGUGUCGUGAGAUGUUGGGUUAAGUCCCGCAACGAGCGCAACCCUUGUCUUAUGUUGCCAGCACGUUAUGGUGGGGACUCGUGAGAGACUGCCGGGGUUAACUCGGAGGAAGGUGGGGAUGACGUCAAAUCAUCAUGCCCCUUAUGUCCAGGGCUUCACACAUGCUACAAUGGUCGGUACAACGCGUCUGCGAGCCUGUGAGGGUGAGCUAAUCGCUGUAAAGCCGGUCGUAGUUCGGAUUGGGGUCUGCAACUCGACCCCAUGAAGUCGGAGUCGCUAGUAAUCGCAGAUCAGCAACGCUGCGGUGAAUACGUUCCCGGGCCU
RNAcentral lists this ribosomal RNA (1345 nucleotides) under uncultured bacterium. RNAcentral describes it as "bacterial SSU rRNA". It matches the Rfam family "Bacterial small subunit ribosomal RNA", at positions 28 to 1381 of the family's 1533-position model. The record is from RNAcentral.